Molecule: ribosomal RNA, 462 nt
Filed under: uncultured bacterium
Lineage: Bacteria
Description: bacterial SSU rRNA
Rfam family: Bacterial small subunit ribosomal RNA
Source: RNAcentral
AGGACGAACGCUGGCGCGUGCCUAACACAUGCAAGUCGAGCGAAUGAAGUUCCUUCGGAACGGAUUUAGCGGCGGACGGUGAGUAACACGUGGGCAACCUACCUCAUAGAGGGGAAUAGCCUUCCGAAAGGGAGAUUAAUACCGCAUAAGAUUGUAGUACCGCAUGGUACAGCAAUUAAAGGAGCAAUCCGCUAUGAGAUGGGCCUGCGGCGCAUUAGCUAGUUGGUGAGGUAACGGCUCACCAAGGCGACGAUGCGUAGCCGACCUGAGAGGGUGAUCGGCCACAUUGGGACUGAGACACGGCCCAGACUCCUACGGGAGGCAGCAGUGGGGAAUAUUGCACAAUGGGGAAACCCUGAUGCAGCAACGCCGCGUGAGUGAUGACGGCCUUCGGGUUGUAAAGCUCUGUCUUCAGGGACGAUAAUGACGGUACCUGAGGAGGAAGCCACGGCUAACUACGUG